Long non-coding RNA from Chelonia mydas (Green sea turtle), 117 nucleotides. RefSeq lists it as uncharacterized. The transcript has 3 exons. The record is from RefSeq and is a predicted model, not a curated record. Lineage: Eukaryota; Metazoa; Chordata; Testudines; Cheloniidae.
CAGGAAUGAACACAAACACGCCCUUGUAGCUGGACAGAUGGGAGCCCGAGAGCUCAGGUGCUGGAGCGCUGCGUUUGUCAGUGAAGCUCGUACCAAGGAAAAAGAAGUCAAGCCUCA